GUCCCCAUCGUCUAGCGGCCAAGGACCCCGUCUUUUUCGAGGCGGUAACAGAGGUUCAAAUCCUUUUGGGGACGCCA
Molecule: transfer RNA, 77 nt
Filed under: Helicobacteraceae bacterium
Lineage: Bacteria; Pseudomonadati; Campylobacterota; Epsilonproteobacteria; Campylobacterales; Helicobacteraceae
Description: tRNA-Lys
Rfam family: tRNA
About the family: Transfer RNA (tRNA) molecules are approximately 80 nucleotides in length. Their secondary structure includes four short double-helical elements and three loops (D, anti-codon, and T loops). Further hydrogen bonds mediate the characteristic L-shaped molecular structure. tRNAs have two regions of fundamental functional importance: the anti-codon, which is responsible for specific mRNA codon recognition, and the 3' end, to which the tRNAs corresponding amino acid is attached (by aminoacyl-tRNA synthetases). tRNAs cope with the degeneracy of the genetic code in two manners: having more than one tRNA (with a specific anti-codon) for a particular amino acid; and 'wobble' base-pairing, i.e. permitting non-standard base-pairing at the 3rd anti-codon position.
Source: RNAcentral